Molecule: long non-coding RNA, 299 nt
Filed under: Rhinopithecus bieti (black snub-nosed monkey)
Lineage: Eukaryota; Metazoa; Chordata; Mammalia; Primates; Cercopithecidae
Description: lncRNA (ENSRBIG00000045797.1)
Source: RNAcentral
UAGAAAAAUAAUUAAAUAUUUUAAAAUUGUUCAUAUUUUUGUUAUAAGGGAAUGAUAUUUCUUUCUAAUUAAAAGAAUGUUUUACUAUAUUCAUUCAUUCUUUCUGUGAAAUUUAUUUUCAGGCAUAUCCUCCUUACCGAAAUUCACCAUAUCAGGUCAUCACUGGAUAUCACUUUCCUGUAUAUUAUUAUCCGAUGCCACCACAGUGGCCUGUUGGGGAGCCCAGGAAUUAUGCUGUACCUCUGAUGCCACCACAGUGGCCUGUUGGGGAGCCCAGGAGUUACACUGUACCUCUGGUA